GCCUAACACAUGCAAGUCGAGCGACUCUCUUCGGAGAAGAGCGGCGGACGGGUGAGUAACGCGUGGGUAACCUGCCCUGUACACACGGAUAACAUACCGAAAGGUAUGCUAAUACGGGAUAAUAUGUUUUGAUCGCAUGGUCGAAAUAUCAAAGCUCCGGCGGUACAGGAUGGACCCGCGUCUGAUUAGCUAGUUGGUGAGGUAAUGGCUCACCAAGGCGACGAUCAGUAGCCGACCUGAGAGGGUGAUCGGCCACAUUGGAACUGAGACACGGUCCAAACUCCUACGGGAGGCAGCAGUGGGGAAUAUUGCACAAUGGGCGAAAGCCUGAUGCAAGCAACGCCGCGUGAGCGAUGAAGGCCUUCGGGUCGUAAAGCUCUGUCCUCAAGGAAGAUAAUGACGGUACUUGAGGAGGAAGCCCCGGCUAACUACGUGCCAGCAGCCGC
Molecule: ribosomal RNA, 446 nt
Filed under: uncultured bacterium
Lineage: Bacteria
Description: bacterial SSU rRNA
Rfam family: Bacterial small subunit ribosomal RNA
Source: RNAcentral